GACGAACGCUGGCGGCGUGCUUAACACAUGCAAGUCGAACGGAAAGGCCCUGCUUUUGUGGGGUGCUCGAGUGGCGAACGGGUGAGUAACACGUGAGUAACCUGCCCUUGACUUUGGGAUAACUUCAGGAAACUGGGGCUAAUACCGGAUAGGAGCUCCUGCUGCAUGGUGGGGGUUGGAAAGUUUCGGCGGUUGGGGAUGGACUCGCGGCUUAUCAGCUUGUUGGUGGGGUAGUGGCUUACCAAGGCUUUGACGGGUAGCCGGCCUGAGAGGGUGACCGGCCACAGUGGGACUGAGAUACGGGCCAGACGGCUACGGGAGGCAGCAGUGGGGAAUAGUGCACAAUGGGCGGAGGCCUGAUGCAGCAACGCCGCGUGCGGGAUGACGGCCUUCGGGUUGUAAACCGCUUUCGCCUGUGACGGAGCGUGAGUGACGGUAAUAGGUAAAGAAGCACCGGCUAACUACGU
This 467-nucleotide ribosomal RNA is filed under the name uncultured bacterium. Its description in RNAcentral is "partial 16S ribosomal RNA". It matches the Rfam family "Bacterial small subunit ribosomal RNA", at positions 28 to 506 of the family's 1533-position model. The record is from RNAcentral.